GCAGAGCAUCCUACGGGAGGCAGGCAGUGGGGAAUAUUGCACAAUGGGCGCAAGCCUGAUGCAGCCAUGCCGCGUGUAUGAAGAAGGCCUUCGGGUGUAAAGUACUUUCAGCAGUGAGGAAGGUGGAUAUGUUAAUAGCAUAUUCAUUUGACGUUAGCUGCAGAAGAAGCACCGGCUAACUCCGUGCCAGCAGCCGCGGUAAUACGGAGGGUGCGAGCGUUAAUCGGAAUUACUGGGCGUAAAGCGCAUGCAGGUGGUUUGUUAAGUCAGAUGUGAAAGCCCCGGGGCUCAACCUCGGAAUUGCAUUUGAAACUGGCAAACUAGAGUACUGUAGAGGGGGUAGAAUUUCAGGUGUAGCGGUGAAAUGCGUAGAGAUCUGAAGGAAUACCGGUGGCGAAGGCGGCCCCCUGGACAGAUACUGACACUCAGAUGCGAAAGCGUGGGGAGCAAACAGGAUUAGAUACCCUGGUAG
This 472-nucleotide ribosomal RNA is filed under the name uncultured bacterium. Its description in RNAcentral is "bacterial SSU rRNA". It matches the Rfam family "Bacterial small subunit ribosomal RNA", at positions 329 to 793 of the family's 1533-position model. The record is from RNAcentral.